Molecule: long non-coding RNA, 309 nt
Filed under: Mytilus galloprovincialis (Mediterranean mussel)
Lineage: Eukaryota; Metazoa; Mollusca; Bivalvia; Mytilida; Mytilidae
Source: RNAcentral
CCAUAUCAUUCUUUACUUCCACCAAAGAAGACAGCUACUUCUACAAUUUGUUUCACAAUAGUGAACAAACUGACAAAAGUUACACAGUCUAUGCGGACGAUAACACGCACUGUUGCAUAAUCCUCUAAAGAAACAAUAGGAACAAUACGAGCACACCCUUAGUCCUCCUGCAGUUAGAUCUGUCAUUGCAGCAUCGUAGUCUCCAACCAUACAGGAUCCAUAUCUGAUACAUAAAAACACAGACAAAAGAAGCGCGAUACUUUUCAUUUUUACUAUUUCAAUGUCAGUGCUUGUAACUGAUGCAAGUGA